UGGGGAAUAUUGCACAAUGGGCGCAAGCCUGAUGCAGCCAUGCCGCGUGUGUGAAGAAGGCCUUCGGGUUGUAAAGCACUUUCAGCGAGGAGGAAGGUGGUGAGCUUAAUACGCUCAUCAAUUGACGUUACUCGCAGAAGAAGCACCGGCUAACUCCGUGCCAGCAGCCGCGGUAAUACGGAGGGUGCAAGCGUUAAUCGGAAUUACUGGGCGUAAAGCGCACGCAGGCGGUUUGUUAAGUCAGAUGUGAAAAUCCCCGGGCUCAACCUGGGAACUGCAUUGAAACUGGCAAGCUAGAGUCUCGUAGAGGGGGUAGAAUUCCAGGUGGUAGCGGUGAAAAUGCGUAGAGAUCUGGAGGAAUACCGGUGGCGAAGGCGGCCCCCUGGACG
RNAcentral lists this ribosomal RNA (389 nucleotides) under uncultured bacterium. RNAcentral describes it as "partial 16S ribosomal RNA". It matches the Rfam family "Bacterial small subunit ribosomal RNA", at positions 355 to 735 of the family's 1533-position model. The record is from RNAcentral.